Molecule: ribosomal RNA, 723 nt
Filed under: bacterium IMCC8518
Lineage: Bacteria
Description: bacterial SSU rRNA
Rfam family: Bacterial small subunit ribosomal RNA
Source: RNAcentral
AUUGAACGCUGGCGGCAGGCCUAAGACAUGCAAGUCGAGCGAGAAAGUACUUCGGUACGAGUACAGCGGCGGACGGGUGAGUAACGCGUAGGAAUCUACCUAGUAGUGGGGGACAACUCGUGGAAACGCGAGCUAAUACCGCAUACGCCCUACGGGGGAAAGCGGGGGAUCUUCGGACCUCGUGCUAUUAGAUGAGCCUGCGUAAGAUUAGCUAGUUGGUGGGGUAAAGGCNUACCAAGGCGACGAUCUUUAGCUGGUCUGAGAGGAUGAUCAGCCACACCGGGACUGAGACACGGCCCGGACUCCUACGGGAGGCAGCAGUCGGGAAUAUUGCGCAAUGGGCGAAAGCCUGACGCAGCCAUGCCGCGUGUGUGAAGAAGGCCCUAGGGUUGUAAAGCACUUUCAAUUGGGAGGAAAAGNUAAUGGUUAAUAGCCAUUAGCCCUGACGUUACCUUNAGAAGAAGCACCGGCUAACUCCGUGCCAGCAGCCGCGGUAAUACGGAGGGUGCAAGCGUUAAUCGGAAUUACUGGGCGUAAAGCGCGCGUAGGCGGCUCUUUAAGUCGGAUGUGAAAGCCCCGGGCUCAACCUGGGAACUGCAUCCGAUACUGGGGAGCUAGAGUGUAGGAGAGGGAGGUAGAAUUCCAUGUGUAGCNGUGAAAUGCGUAGAUNUAUGGAGGAAUACCAGUGGCGAAGGCGGCCUCCUGGCUAACACUGACGCUGAG